Molecule: ribosomal RNA, 303 nt
Filed under: uncultured bacterium
Lineage: Bacteria
Description: bacterial SSU rRNA
Rfam family: Bacterial small subunit ribosomal RNA
Source: RNAcentral
UGAGGAAUAUUGGUCAAUGGGCGUAAGCCUGAACCAGCCAAGUCGCGUGAGGGAAGACGGUCCUACGGAUUGUAAACCUCUUUUGCCGGGGAGCAACGGGGUCCUUGCGAGGGCCCGAUGAGAGUACCCGGAGAAAAAGCAUCGGCUAACUCCGUGCCAGCAGCCGCGGUAAUACGGAGGAUGCGAGCGUUAUCCGGAUUUAUUGGGUUUAAAGGGUGCGUAGGCGGGCUGUUAAGUCAGCGGUCAAAUGUCGGGGCUCAACCCCGGCCUGCCGUUGAAACUGGCGGCCUCGAGUGGGCGAGA